Molecule: ribosomal RNA, 616 nt
Filed under: Lactococcus lactis
Lineage: Bacteria; Bacillati; Bacillota; Bacilli; Lactobacillales; Streptococcaceae
Description: bacterial SSU rRNA
Rfam family: Bacterial small subunit ribosomal RNA
Source: RNAcentral
UACUUGUACCGACUGGAUGAGCAGCGAACGGGUGAGUAACGCGUGGGGAAUCUGCCUUUGAGCGGGGGACAACAUUUGGAAACGAAUGCUAAUACCGCAUAAAAACUUUAAACACAAGUUUUAAGUUUGAAAGAUGCAAUUGCAUCACUCAAAGAUGAUCCCGCGUUGUAUUAGCUAGUUGGUGAGGUAAAGGCUCACCAAGGCGAUGAUACAUAGCCGACCUGAGAGGGUGAUCGGCCACAUUGGGACUGAGACACGGCCCAAACUCCUACGGGAGGCAGCAGUAGGGAAUCUUCGGCAAUGGACGAAAGUCUGACCGAGCAACGCCGCGUGAGUGAAGAAGGUUUUCGGAUCGUAAAACUCUGUUGGUAGAGAAGAACGUUGGUGAGAGUGGAAAGCUCAUCAAGUGACGGUAACUACCCAGAAAGGGACGGCUAACUACGUGCCAGCAGCCGCGGUAAUACGUAGGUCCCGAGCGUUGUCCGGAUUUAUUGGGCGUAAAGCGAGCGCAGGUGGUUUAUUAAGUCUGGUGUAAAAGGCAGUGGCUCAACCAUUGUAUGCAUUGGAAACUGGUAGACUUGAGUGCAGGAGAGGAGAGUGGAAUUCCAUGGGUAGC